RNAcentral lists this unclassified non-coding RNA (154 nucleotides) under uncultured Ramariopsis. RNAcentral's name for it is "sequence contains ITS1". Lineage: Eukaryota; Fungi; Basidiomycota; Agaricomycetes; Agaricales; Clavariaceae. The record is from RNAcentral.
UUGAAUCCUCAAGGAUGUUGCUGGCCUAGGCAUGUGCACUCCGCCUUUCAAUUCACCUGUGAACUUAUUGUAGGCCCGAGUGGUCUAUGUUUUUAAACACACCCCAAAUGUCUAUAGAAUGUCUAAUAGUAGGCCUUAUGGUCGAAACUUAAUA